This 1989-nucleotide long non-coding RNA is filed under the name Lactuca sativa (garden lettuce). RNAcentral's name for it is "long non-coding RNA (LSAT_LNC000729)". The record is from RNAcentral. Lineage: Eukaryota; Viridiplantae; Streptophyta; Magnoliopsida; Asterales; Asteraceae.
GGAAAAAACCCUAACCCGGGUGUUUGCACCCUAUUUAAACACUCUAACUCGGCCUCCCUUGCCCCUAACACUCCCAGAGAAGUUGAAGGACGAACCCUAGCCCCCCUUAUUGUUCUUGUGAGUGAUUUUGGCCUUGUGAAGGUAGUUGAAGCUUAAGAGAAGAAGAAGCAGGUGGAAGAGUGCAAGGAAGGGAAGUAGAUCCGACAUCUACCCUGCAAAAGGCUUCCAUUCAGGUAGAAAAGCUCCUACCUUGAUCAUUAGUUCGAUAGAUCUCCUUUUUGUCCCUAAUUGGUGGUUUUCAAGCCCUAAAACCCCCAAACUCCAUGUGUUUGUGCUCUAUGAUCCGAAAGGAAUUCAGAUCUGGACCUUAUGGGCAUCUUUGAAGUAUAAAGUCUCUAUGGUUGGAGUUAUUGAGGUUCCUAUUGAGUGUAAGACCUCUUAAAAAGCUUGGAUUUGCCUUCUGAGGAUAUCCUGAACGCAGAUCAAUCUUGGAGAACCAAUAUGCUCCCUGUAGCUGGUCAAAGAGGUCAUUAAUCCUCGGGAGUGGGUAACGGUUCUUCACCGUUACCUUGUUCAGCUUCCGAUAAUCUAUACACAUUCAAUGCGACCUGUCCUUCUUCUUCACAAACAAAAUCGGGGAUCCCUCGGGAGAACAACUAGGUCUAAUGAAUCCCUUGUCUAACAGCUCCUACAGCUGUGUAGACAACUCCUGCAUCUUAGGAGUAGCCAACCGAUACGGUGCCUUGGCUAUCGGGGCCGCACCAGGGACUAGGUCGAUCCUAAACUCCACCUGCCUCUCCAGAGGUAUCCCAUGCAACUCCUUGGGGAAUACGUCCGUAAACUCUCGCACCACGGGCACAUCGCCCACUGUCGCCUUACCCGCCUCCCGGGUGUCCAUGACAUAAGCGACAUAUCCUGCGCAACCCUGCUGAAGGUAACGCCUAGAUUUCGCUGCUGAACGUACAGCUGGUCCUCGCUAUGGCCUCUCGCCCUGAACUACCAAAUCUCCCCCACUUGGCUUCCUGAUCCGCACCAACUGCUGUGCGCAAUCUAUCACUGCCCCAUUAGGGCUCAUCCAAUCCAUGUCUAUAAUCAUCUUGUUCCCUCGCAAAGGUAUGAGAACCAAGUCUACCAGGUAGCGUUCCUCGAAUAAUCUCAGCACACAAUCUCGGAAUACCGCCGAUGCUCGCACCGAUCGAUGAAGACCCAGAUCAAAUCCACUCCCCGCGCGGUCCUGGGAAGCUUUGUGAUAAAAUCCAUCGUGAUGUCUUCCCAUUUCCACAGCGGGAUGUCCAACGACUGCAUAUUGCCGUGAGGUUGCCUUGACCUUCCUGCAAGUCAAGCACCGCUCCACGUACCAUGCCACAUCCCGCUUCAUGUAGGGCCACCAAUAGUCUAGGCGAAGAUCCCUAUACAUUUUCGUCGCCCCGGGAUGAAUGGAGAAUCGAGAUUUGUAUGCCUCCUCCAUCAUAACCUAGCGCACACCCCUGUGGUACGGCACCCACACCCUAAGGCACGGGGUCUAAGCUGUGGACUCGGCGAGUCGGUUCCCAGACUCGGCGAGUAGACCCUGUCUGGGAAAAAACCCUAACCCGGGUGUUUGCACCCUAUUUAAACACUCUAAGUCGGCCUUCCUUUCCCCUAACACUCCCAGAGAAGUUGAAGGACGAACCCUAGCCCCCCUUAUUGUUCUUGUGAGUGAUUUUGGCCUUGUGAAGGUAGUUGAAGCUUAAGAGAAGAAGAAGCAGGUGGAAGAGUGCAAGGAAGGGAAGUAGAUCCGACAUCUACCCUGCAAAAGGCUUCCAUUCAGGUAGAAAAGCUCCUACCUUGAUCAUUAGUUCGAUAGAUCUCCUUUUUGUCCCUAAUUGGUGGUUUUCAAGCCCUAAAACCCCCAAACUCCAUGUGUUUGUGCUCUAUGAUCCGAAAGGAAUUCAGAUCUGGACCUUAUGGGCAUCUUUGAAGUAUAAAGUCUCUAUGGUUGGAGUUAUU